UGGCGGCAUGCUUAACACAUGACAAGUACGAACGCGAAAGUCCUUCGGGGCGAGUAGAGUGGCGGACGGGUGAGUAACGCGUGGGAAUCUACCCUAGAGCGGGGGACAACCCGGGGAAACCCGGGCUAAUACCGCAUACGUCCUACGGGAGAAAGAGGGCCUCUGCUUGCACGCUCUCACUCCAGGAUGAGCCCACGUCCGAUUAGCUAGUUGGUAGGGUAAAGGCCUACCAAGGCCACGAUCGGUAGCUGGUCUGAGAGGAUGAUCAGCCACACUGGGACUGAGACACGGCCCAGACUCCUACGGGAGGCAGCAGUGGGGAAUAUUGGACAAUGGGCGCAAGCCUGAUCCAGCAAUGCCGCGUGUGUGAAGAAGGCCUGCGGGUUGUAAAGCACUUUCAGUGGGGAAGAACAGAUUCGGGUCAAUACCCCGGAGCCCUGACGUUACCCACAGAAGAAGCACCGGCUAACUCCGUG
Molecule: ribosomal RNA, 476 nt
Filed under: uncultured bacterium
Lineage: Bacteria
Description: bacterial SSU rRNA
Rfam family: Bacterial small subunit ribosomal RNA
Source: RNAcentral